This 320-nucleotide unclassified non-coding RNA is filed under the name Hevea brasiliensis (rubber tree). Lineage: Eukaryota; Viridiplantae; Streptophyta; Magnoliopsida; Malpighiales; Euphorbiaceae. The record is from RNAcentral.
UAAGGAUAAAAAAGGAAAAGUGUUAGUGAAAGAUGUUGAUAUUAAAGAAAGAUUAGGGCUUAGAAGAAAUAAGAGAGAAGAGAAGAGAAGAGACCAGAAUAAGGAGAGAAGAGAAGAGGGAGAAAAAAAAAAUGUUGCUUUGAAAGAGGCGCACCUUGCCUCGCCGUGCACCUUGGUGCCUUGGCAAGAGAGGAGUGCCUUGAGAGAGGUGCUCCUCGCCAUAGUUAUAUUAAAGGCUCAUGGUGCCAAGGGUCCUAAAGCCUAGGCACAAGAUGUGCGCUUGAGCGAUGUGAGGCGCAAAAAUAAAAAUAUUCACAAAA